Molecule: unclassified non-coding RNA, 220 nt
Filed under: plant metagenome
Description: partial contains small subunit ribosomal RNA, internal transcribed spacer 1, and 5.8S ribosomal RNA
Source: RNAcentral
UCUCCGUAGGUGAACCUGCGGAAGGAUCAUUACUGAGUUCAUGCCCUCACGGGUAGAUCUCCCACCCUUGAAUAUUUAUACCUUAGUUGCUUUGGCAGGCCGUGGAAACACCAUGGGCUCCGGCUUAUGCGUGCCUGCCAGAGGAAACAAACUCUGUUUUUAGUGAUGUCUGAGUACUAUAUAAUAGUUAAAACUUUCAACAACGGAUCUCUUGGUUCUG